This is a small nuclear RNA of Ochotona princeps (American pika), 80 nucleotides long. Lineage: Eukaryota; Metazoa; Chordata; Mammalia; Lagomorpha; Ochotonidae. The record is from Ensembl.
GGGCUCGCUUCGGCAGCACAUACAUAAAAACUGGAAUGAUACAGAGAUUAGCAUGGCCCCUGUGCAAGGAUGACACACAA